RNAcentral lists this long non-coding RNA (1121 nucleotides) under Setaria viridis. RNAcentral's name for it is "long non-coding RNA (SVIR_LNC004186)". Lineage: Eukaryota; Viridiplantae; Streptophyta; Magnoliopsida; Poales; Poaceae. The record is from RNAcentral.
UGAUUCUGUCUCUGAGGGCCUGAGAAAUGCAAAAAUGACUAACUGAGGAGAGGAAAGUAAAGGUGCGGGGAGGACGAUGAAGGUAGAGAGGUGUACCUCUGGGAUAGCAGUAAGGGUAGCCAUAGAAUUGAUUUGGGAUUUGAAGUGAUUAGCAAGUGGAUCACCAAUGGUCACUGGAGAUCUCCGAUGGUUGCCGAAAAUCGUCGACGGUCGCCCUUCGCCCGAAAGAAAGAGGAGAUGAGGUAUGGUGUUGUGAGAAGAUGAACCGGUGGGGAUGAGGAAGAUGGUGGCUGUAAAUUUAUAAAUUCAUCCGAGAGGGUAAAUGCGGUCUCUCAUCCGCCGUCUGUGUGAAAAUCGAAGAGCUGUUACCCCCAAUCGCUUUUUCAGGCAAUCAUGACUGAGGAGAUUUCGGAACAGAAAAUAUUUUGUUGCUCAGUGAUUGGUAAAUAUCGACAUUUUCCUGAGGAAGGUAAUCGCGGCUGAGAUAAUUUCGGAGCAAAAGAUAAGUUUCACUCCAAAAUUGGGGGGCAUGUGUUGACACCAUUUUUUGACAUAUGACAAAGAUGGCGUCAAAAGGAAGCAGAGGUGCCAGUGCGUAGUGGAAGGACAAUGGCUCGUGGAAUCGGCAGAUGAGGUUGCAGAGGGUUUAGCUGAUAGAGUGAGACAGAAACCUAGCUGAUGGGAUCAAGGGAGCGUUGCCGAUGGAGUCAACUGAUGUGAGUAGGAGGAUUCUAGCCGAUUGGAAGCGUUGCAGAUGGAGUUAGCCGAUGUGAGCAGAAGAAUUCUAGCCAAAUGGAAAUGUUGUCGAUGGAGUCAGCCGAUGAGGGGCAGGUUUUGGCCGGUAGAGGCCAAGUUCGUUUCCGACUUUUGCGCGAGUCAUUUUUAUUUGGAAAGUUUGUUUCUUUAGAGAUAGAUCUUAUGAUUUGUCGUAAUCGACUAGGGUUAUAAAUCUUGAUAUAUAGGGUAUAAAUAGGGACCUUGAGAGGUCUGGAGACAUACACAUCAUAAUCAAUACAAAUUCACUAUUUUCACAAUUUACUUUCAAGUUGGUAACUUUGCCAUCAUUUUUGUUUCUUCAUGAGUUCUUUCAAGCUAGUUGGCCUGCAUCGUUCCGAUCUUCG